This 343-nucleotide unclassified non-coding RNA is filed under the name soil metagenome. RNAcentral's name for it is "partial contains 5.8S ribosomal RNA, internal transcribed spacer 2, and large subunit ribosomal RNA". The stretch from base 1 to 120 matches the Rfam family "5.8S ribosomal RNA", at positions 35 to 154 of the family's 154-position model. The record is from RNAcentral.
GAUGAAGAACGUAGCGAAAUGCGAUAAGUAAUGUGAAUUGCAGAAUUCAGUGAAUCAUCGAAUCUUUGAACGCACAUUGCGCCCGCUAGUAUUCUGGCGGGCAUGCCUGUCCGAGCGUCAUUUCAACCCUCAAACCCCCGGGCUUGGUGUUGGGGAUCGGCGAGCCUCCGCGCCCGCCGUCCCCUAAAACUAGUGGCGGUCUCGCUGUAGCUUCCUCUGCGUAGUAGCACACCUCGCACUGGGAAACAGCGCGGCCACGCCGUUAAACCCCCAACUUCUGAACGUUUGACCUCGGAUCAGGUAGGAAUACCCGCUGAACUUAAGCAUAUCAAUAAGCGGAGGA